This 458-nucleotide ribosomal RNA is filed under the name uncultured bacterium. Its description in RNAcentral is "partial 16S ribosomal RNA". It matches the Rfam family "Bacterial small subunit ribosomal RNA", at positions 28 to 507 of the family's 1533-position model. The record is from RNAcentral.
GAUAAACGCUGGCGGCGUGCAUGAGACAUGCAAGUCGAACGAAGGAUCGGGCUUGCUCGAUCCUUAGUGGCGGACGGCUGAGUAACGCGUAGGUGACCUACCCCGAAGUGGGGAAUAACUGCCCGAAAGGGUGGCUAAUACCGCAUGUGGUCGCACGUUCAUUCGUGCGAGUAAAGCCGCAAGGCGCUUCGGGAGGGGCCUGCGUCCGAUUAGCUCGUUGGUGGGGUAAUGGCUUACCAAGGCGACGAUCGGUAGGUGGUCUGAGAGGACGAUCACCCAGACUGGGACUGAGACACGGCCCAGACUCCUACGGGAAGCAGCAGUCGGGAAUUUUGCUCAAUGGGGGAAACCCUGAAGCAGCAACGCCGCGUGAGGGAUGAAGGCCUUCGGGUUGUAAACCUCUUUUGUCAGGGACGAUGAUGACGGUACCUGGCGAAUAAGCCACGGCUAACUACGUG